AGACUUUGUAUCUGGCAAGUUUUUCCAGAACAGUUUUGGUUUCUUUCAAAGGAAGCAACUAAUUGGAUAUUUAGCAAUCCUGAUGCUGCUAAUUCAUCAGAUAUGGAUGCUACAACAAGCAGUACUCCUACUGCUGAUGUUGGAUUGCCUGAUGGAGGAGGAAGAUACCGACUUAUUGGGCUAGUGAGCCACAUUGGAACCUCAACCCAGUGUGGUCACUAUGUUGCUCAUAUAUACAAGGAUGGAAGGUGGGUUAUUUUCAACGAUGACAAGGUUGGGGCUUCUAUUAAUCCCCCCAAGGAUAUGGGAUAUUUAUAUUUCUUUGAGAGACUGAGCAGUUGAGUGACAUGAAAGAUUGUCGACAUUUGCAAGAUGCUGUGAGUUUCUGGAAUCUCAGUGGUACUUGCUUAUGGUUGUUGCCUGUAGAAUGACUGAAGACAGCACUGGCCGGGUGGUGUGAUAAAACUCUUUACCCUUUGCUUUGCAGUACUUAUGAGUUUCUUCAUAUGCAGUUCUCUGGAAAUAGGGUCAUGGUUUUUUGGGCUUAUGACUAUUUCUGAAUUCUUUUUUAAUUAAAUUGUGGGAAUAACAACUUAAAAAAGGCCGGAAUGUCAUUCAUGAAAAAUUUUGUACCCAUUACUUGUUUCUGUCUGACCAGAUUUGAUCAACAUUUUGCCGGAUCAUCAAUUGAAAUGGUAUAUUGUAAA
Long non-coding RNA from Vitis vinifera (wine grape), 707 nucleotides. RefSeq lists it as uncharacterized. The transcript is spliced from 2 exons. The record is from RefSeq and is a predicted model, not a curated record. NCBI's taxonomy places the organism in Eukaryota, Viridiplantae, Streptophyta, Magnoliopsida, Vitales, Vitaceae.